Lagopus leucura (white-tailed ptarmigan) is the source of this 194-nucleotide long non-coding RNA. RefSeq lists it as uncharacterized. The record is from RefSeq and is a predicted model, not a curated record. NCBI's taxonomy places the organism in Eukaryota, Metazoa, Chordata, Aves, Galliformes, Phasianidae. The transcript is spliced from 3 exons.
CUCACAACUGUUAUGAGGCCCGGAAACCAUAACAAAACCAUACAUCCAGCCUCAUAAGUGUGGGGUUCAAAUGAGCACAGGCAUGCUGAAACACUGCUGGCAAAAAUGCACCAUCUGCCUGAACAUGGAAGGGAAUUGCCUGCAGUUUUUUUCCUCAUUUCUAGCACAAACACAAUGAAACUCUUCAAAUUGUU